Molecule: long non-coding RNA, 290 nt
Filed under: Physcomitrium patens
Lineage: Eukaryota; Viridiplantae; Streptophyta; Bryopsida; Funariales; Funariaceae
Description: long non-coding RNA (PPAT_LNC005830)
Source: RNAcentral
GUCUUUGCAAACACUCAAUUGAUACCUAUCUAAAAAUUAUCUAACAAAAUUCUAUAAAAAUUGCGAUCCCUCUCGCCUAUCUAAUUAAUCAAUUACCGCAGUAUCUGUUAUUGGUUCCACUGAUUCCGAUUCCAAUUGCAAAUCUUCAUCCUCUUCCAAUCCUUCUAUUGGCUCUUGCCUCAACUGAGGUGAAAGGUCUUCAUUGUACUCACCCAGUUCAUGGACUUGAGCUUCCAAUUUCAGGAUCUAGGCAUCUCUCAAUUCCAACUAGCCCUGAAAGUGACUCUUCU